GAUGAACGCUAGCGGCAGGCUUAAUACAUGCAAGUCGUGGGCAGCGCGGGUAGCAAUACCUGGCGGCGACCGGCAAACGGGUGAGGAACAUGUACGCAACCUUCCUUUAACUGGAGAAUAGCCCCUCGAAAGAGGGAUUAAUACUCCGUAACAUUUUGAUACAGCAUUGUAUUAAAAUUAUAGCUCCGGCGGUUAAAGAUGGGCGUGCACCUGAUUAGAUAGUUGGCGGGGUAACGGCCCACCAAGUCUACGAUCAGUAACUGGUGUGAGAGCACGACCAGUCACACGGGCACUGAGACACGGGUCCGACUCCUACGGGAGGCAGCAGUAAGGAAUAUUGGUCAAUGGUCUGACGACUGAACCAGCCAUGCCGCGUGAAGGUCACGGCCCUAUGGGUCUUAAACUUCUUUUGCGAGGGAGCAAUAAGGUCUACGUGUAGUCCGAUGAGAGUACCUCGCGAAUAAGCAUCGGCUAACUCCGUG
Molecule: ribosomal RNA, 482 nt
Filed under: uncultured bacterium
Lineage: Bacteria
Description: bacterial SSU rRNA
Rfam family: Bacterial small subunit ribosomal RNA
Source: RNAcentral